UUCCACUUUUUUUUCUCCAACUCCCGAGUCGAUGACGUUACCAAGUAGCACCGCCCACGCCGGAAGUUCACCUUCAAACCAAAGGCUCAUCCAAAUUCGUUUUGUCAGUUGACUGCAGAAGCAACGACACCAGAAACCAAACCGCAGAAACCCCGCCCGGGUCCUGACCCUCCCAACCACUACCACCACUAUCAGUAUCCGCCUCGUGUUGAACAGAGCAGUGUGUGCUUCCCCCUAGCGGCCGGCUGGUGCCACAACACGGUCCAGGUUCACCAGUACUGUACUGGAUGGUGUCUUCUGUGUCCUGUGUGGUUUGUGUUGUACUUAGCAUUGUGUAGCAUCUUAUACAAGCUAAAUUUAGUACUUAGCGAUAUAGCAUCUUAUCCUAGCUAUCCUUAGUACUAAGCAUUGUGUAGCAUCUUAUCCUAGAUAUCUCUGUUGUAUACAGGGAAUGGGUUAACCUAGUGAUUCUUAGUGGUUAGAACUUGAUUCUACUAACAUCUUUACUGUACCGACAGAGAUAUAUUGUUUCUAUUUUUUUUGAUAAAUUGACUUAAAAGCAUCUGCUAAAUGACCUUAAUGUAAAUGUUGUCCUUCAUGUAGUAUUCAUGAGGGAUAUAAUGUGUUUUAAGUCCUGUCUGCAACACAUUUUCUCUAGUGUAAUAAAACCGCUUGCCUUGACUCCUCA
Molecule: long non-coding RNA, 688 nt
Organism: Gadus morhua (Atlantic cod)
Lineage: Eukaryota; Metazoa; Chordata; Actinopteri; Gadiformes; Gadidae
Exons: 2
Source: RefSeq, a predicted model, not a curated record